UGAGAAUGACAGGACUUCUCCCAUUGCCAGAAACCUUGGCAUUAUAUUAGUGUUUGCUGUACCCACUUUGCAAUCCAGAAGGCCAAGCUCAGGAAAACAGGCACUGCACCUGGCCACCAAGCUCCGAAGUGACACGUGACUCUACCCUCAGGGUGUGACCCACAGCCUAUAGGCUGAGGAAGAUGCAAGGACUGCAAGUGCUGCAGAGGGGCUUCCCAGGAGUGUCCGGCCCCAGGAACCUCACAGUCACCGAGGGCUAAGCGUUCAGAAAGUCGCCUCCCUCUCUGGGGCUGUGGGCGGGGUUAGGAAACACUUUCAGUUUUGUUUCCUUGUCUGCCACAAAGGAACUCACCAGGAAACCUCCGGGAGUGGAAUAUGGAGGGAGACUUCCAGGUGUGCGGAAACUGCAAGAAAAGUGUGCCCUCUGCCCACUUCAUCCUCCAUGAGGUCCACUGCCUUCGGUUUCUGGCCCCUAAGUGUGAGGAGCCCGUUCCAGGGAUGAAGGUGCAGGAGCAGAGGCACCAGCAGGUCAAGUGUGCGAUGUGUCAGCAGAGUGUGGCGAAGUCCUUCCUGGAAUUGCAUGAGACCAAGGAAUGCCAGGAGCGCCCUGUCAAGUGCAAGUUCUGUGAGCUGACCGUGCAUCUCAGCAAGCUGGAGACCCACGAGUCCCACUGUGGCAGCCAGGCCCAGCGCUGCCCGCACUGUGACCAGCUUAUCUUGCUCUGGCUGCUGGCCCAGCACAAAGACGUUUGUCAACAUGAAAAGGCUCUGUCCACGGAAGGAAAAAGAACUUUAGUUCAUGAGAGGAAAAUCUACUGUAAUUAUUGCAAGAAAAUAAUUAAAGGAAGUAUGCAUAACCACUAUACGGCCGGAUCAGGAAAUGCCCUUGGUCACCAGCGUCACAGACCUUCCACACAGCCUGUCUGAGCUGCUGCUUGUUGGCCUUGACAUCCACAGUGAGCCCGAGUGUGUUGUCCCUUGUCUUCUUCAUGGCUGACCCCAUGGUCAUGGAGACUGAUGAUGCCAUAGUGGUCCAGUUUGUCUGUCCUGGGGGUGAUUUUUCUGGGGUAUUUGGGCAGCUUCCAGAGCUGCAAUGGCUUGGGUAGCCUUGGGAGGGGCAGGAGCUUCCUUCUGCAGCAGGCGCCAUCUUAGUCCCUGGUCUUCAGGCUCUUCUAUACCUGUACUCACUACCUCAGUCAUCUCACCCAGACUCUCAGUUUCAAAAGUGCUGUAUGUACAUGGACACCGUCUACUUUAUAUCUUGGUAUGGGCAUUUUAACCCCAAAUAGCAGAAUCAUAUAUCACCACCUAGUCAGCAUCUUCGCAUGAACGCAGGGUAGACGUCUCAACUGUGACUCAUCUGAAAUUGGCCAUCUGCCUUUGCCCAUCUCGGGUCACAGCAGCAUGAUCCCUCCAGUCAUUUGGGACACAACUUCAGGUACACCCUUGGCUCCUCUCCUGUCCCCAGGAAGUGCUGUUGCUCUGCUGUGAACCACCGCUAUUACUAGCCUGCAGGCUGUGGUGGUGUUAUGGUCGAUACAUUGUGUCAACUUGAGUAGUCUAGAGGUUUGGCUAAGUGACUCAGCAGGGAGCCAGGGCGCUUACUUUAUAAACAUCCUGAGCCUGUGGAAAAGGAGGGCAUGGAGAUUAUGUGAGUGCUGCAUGCUCCCUGGGUGGGCAUAGCCUAUUUACAAUGUAAGAAAAGAAAAGAGGCUGCUUGCCGCCAUAUCCCCCCUUUGCUCUUGUUUGCUCUUUGCUAUCUUCUGCCUCCGAGCCGGCCAAGUAUGGACUAAAACCUCUACAAACUGUAAGCUAAAUAAACUUUUCCUUCCUGCAUUUUGGGUGUUGGGUAUUUUGUCCCAACAACGAGAAAAAAGUAACUAAGACAGGUGGACUCUUCACUGGUCUCCCCGCUUCUCACCCUGCCCGCUGCCCUCUGCUCCCACACCACAGCCCACAGGAUCCUUUAAAAAUACCACUCAGCUGUUUCACACUAUUCAAGAUCUGUGCUGACUCCUGCCUCACCUCACACAUGAAAAUCCCUGCAGGGGUCCUGGAGCUCUGUGACCUCUGUGCCUCCUUCCCUCUUCCCGCCUCGCUAAUCUCACCUCCCACUCCUUUCCAGCUCACUAGGUGGUUCAUGGCUUCUCUCUCUCUCUCUCUCUCUCUCUCUCUCUCUCUCU
Molecule: long non-coding RNA, 2183 nt
Organism: Chinchilla lanigera (long-tailed chinchilla)
Lineage: Eukaryota; Metazoa; Chordata; Mammalia; Rodentia; Chinchillidae
Source: Ensembl